UUGAUCCUGGCUCAGAAUCAACGCUGGCGGCGUGCCUAACACAUGCAAGUCGAACGCGAAGACCCAGCAAUGGGUUGGUAGCGUGGCAAACGGGUGAGUUACGCGUGGGCGACCUACCUCCGAGUGGGGGAUAACCUUCCGAAAGGGAGUCUAAUACCGCAUGACAUCCCAUUUUUGGAUAGAUGGACAUCAAAGCCGGUGAUCGCAAGACCUGGCGCUUGGAGAGGGGCCCGCGUCCGAUUAGCUAGUUGGUGAGGUAACGGCCCACCAAGGCUUCGAUCGGUAUCCGGCCUGAGAGGUCGGACGGACACACUGGAACUGAGACACGGUCCAGACUCCUACGGGAGGCUGCAGUGGGGAAUUGUUCGCAAUGGACGAAAGUCUGACGACGCAACGCCGUGUGGAGGAUGAAGACCUUCGGGUCGUAAACUCCUUUCGACCGAGAUGAAUAGACGCCCAUCUAACACAUGGGCGUAUUGACAGUAUCGAGGGAAGCAGCUCCGGCUAACUCUGUGCCAGCAGCCGCGGUAAUAAGGU
RNAcentral lists this ribosomal RNA (537 nucleotides) under uncultured Acidobacteriota bacterium. Its description in RNAcentral is "bacterial SSU rRNA". It matches the Rfam family "Bacterial small subunit ribosomal RNA", at positions 13 to 529 of the family's 1533-position model. Lineage: Bacteria; Pseudomonadati; Acidobacteriota. The record is from RNAcentral.